Long non-coding RNA from Talpa occidentalis (Iberian mole), 873 nucleotides. RefSeq lists it as uncharacterized. NCBI's taxonomy places the organism in Eukaryota, Metazoa, Chordata, Mammalia, Eulipotyphla, Talpidae. The transcript is spliced from 3 exons. The record is from RefSeq and is a predicted model, not a curated record.
CCGGCCGACUGAGAGUCUGGCGACUCCGGGCUGGGGGCCCGACCAGGGCCCCGUCCUCUCCUCCCGUCACCCCCGAGCUACUGCAUCCCAGGCGCUUAGUAGGUGCCUAAGCGGAGGGAGGGGGAGAGGUGACUCCCUGGAACAGCCCGCGAGCGGGGGAGGGCAGGUGAGUCACCGAGCCGCACACAGGCUACAUGAUGUAUGAUGUGGUAUUACAUGGAACACAAGCAGAUAUGAGGAUCUAACUUUAGAGGAGACAUCCUACAGCAAGACUAUACCCAAAUCUCAACUCAGAAAGACCCAGAGUAAAGCUGGAAACGUGGGAGUCAUCUGUACCUGAAGAAUAUAGGGCAAGAAGAGAAAGAGGCCCAAGACCACCAAUUAAAAGGAAGAGGAGCCAGAACAGGAGACUCAGUUUCCCUCUGCAGCCCAGAGCCCUCCUUUCCUUUCCUAAAAUACACAUUUCCUUUCCCACAGCAUGGGCUUCUUAUUUGCUGCACCCUCUAUGGAAUUCCCUUUGCUCUAGCUCUUCAGCUUGGCUCCUGUAGGGUAAGGUAAAAGGUAUCAGGCUUUUCUGCCCUCCCGCCAUCAGGAUAGAUGACGGAACCCUGCGGUCCUGAAUGCAUGCCUGAUGGCGGGCACCUGGAGUAGGGUGUGGGCAUAGGUAGAUGGGAUUCACCUGGGCUAAGACUGGGCUCUUAAGGGCGGCAUAACAGGGAUGCCAGCAGAAGCCAAGAGAGAAGCAGAGCCAUGAGAAGAGCAGAGAGAAUGUGAGAGAAGGUCGGAGAGCCCAGAGUGAAGACUUGGCAGGCCUCCCAGCCCCCCAGCGCCCCUGCCUGCCGUGUACCUGGUAAUCUGAAUAAAACACCUGCA